GAUGAGGGAAUUCCUAGUGCUAGGACAUUUGUUCUAGCUUUUCUCAAGCGUAGAUAACUCGAGGAAUAAGGGCUGGGUAAGACGGGUGCCAGCCGCCGCGGUAAUACCUGCAGCCCAAGUGGUGGUCGAUUUUAUUGAGUCUAAAACGUUCGUAGCCGGUCUGGUAAAUCCUUGGGUAAAUCGGGAAGCUUAACUUUCCGACUUCCGAGGAGACUGCCAGACUUGGGACUGGGAGAGGCAAGAGGUACUUCUGGGGUAGGGGUAAAAUCCUGUAAUCCUAGAAGGACCACCGGUGGCGAAGGCGUCUUGCUAGAACGGAUCCGACGGUGAGGGACGAAGCCCUGGGUCGCAAACGGGAUUAGAUACCCCGGUAGUCCAGGGUGUAAACGCUGCAGACUUGGUGUUGGAGGCCCUUCGGGGGCAUUCAGUGCCGGAGAGAAGUUGUUAAGUCUGCUACUUGGGGAGUACGUCCGCAAGGAUGAAACUUAAAGGAAUUGGCGGGGGAGCACCGCAACGGGAGGAGCGUGCGGUUUAAUUGGAUUUAACACCGGAAAACUCACCAAGGGCGACUGUUACAUGAAAGCCAGGCUAAUGACCUUGCUAGAUUUUCAGAGAGGUGGUGCAUGGCCGUCGUCAGUUCGUACCGUAAGGCGUUCUCUUAAGUGAGAUAACGAACGAGAC
This 681-nucleotide ribosomal RNA is filed under the name human gut metagenome. Its description in RNAcentral is "bacterial SSU rRNA". It matches the Rfam family "Archaeal small subunit ribosomal RNA", at positions 369 to 1051 of the family's 1478-position model. The record is from RNAcentral.